GACGAACGCUGGCGGCGUGCUUAACACAUGCAAGUCGAACGGAAAGGCCCUGCUUUUGUGGGGUGCUCGAGUGGCGAACGGGUGAGUAACACGUGAGUAACCUGCCCCUGACUUUGGGAUAACAUCAGGAAACUGGGGCUAAUACCGGAUAGGAGCUCCUGCUGCAUGGUGGGGGUUGGAAAGUUUCGGCGGUUGGGGAUGGACUCGCGGCUUAUCAGCUUGUUGGUGGGGUAGUGGCUUACCAAGGCUUUGACGGGUAGCCGGCCUGAGAGGGUGACCGGCCACAUUGGGACUGAGGUACGGCCCAGACUCCUACGGGAGGCAGCAGUGGGGAAUAUUGCGCAGUGGGCGGAAGCCUGAUGCGGCAACGCCGCGUGCGGGAUGACGGCCUUCGGGUUGUAAACCGCUUUCGCCUGUGACGAAGCGUGAGUGACGGUAAUGGGUAAAGAAGCACCGGCUAACUACGUG
RNAcentral lists this ribosomal RNA (468 nucleotides) under uncultured bacterium. RNAcentral describes it as "partial 16S ribosomal RNA". It matches the Rfam family "Bacterial small subunit ribosomal RNA", at positions 28 to 507 of the family's 1533-position model. The record is from RNAcentral.